AAAAAGAUAAGCUAAAUAAGCUUUUGGGUUCAUACCCCAAAUAUAAAGACCCCCCCUUUUCUUUUUA
This 67-nucleotide transfer RNA is filed under the name Diaphanes citrinus. RNAcentral describes it as "tRNA-Met". Lineage: Eukaryota; Metazoa; Arthropoda; Insecta; Coleoptera; Lampyridae. The record is from RNAcentral.